GAUGAAGAACGUAGCGAAAUGCGAUAAGUAGUGUGAAUUGCAGAAUUCAGUGAAUCAUCGAAUCUUUGAACGCACAUUGCGCCCCUUGGUAUUCCAUGGGGCAUGCCUGUUCGAGCGUCAUUUGUACCUUCAAGCUGUGCUUGGUGUUGGGUGUUUGUCUCGCCUCUGCGUGUAGACUCGCCUUAAAACAAUUGGCAGCCGGCGUAUUGAUUUCGGAGCGCAGUACAUCUCGCGCUUUGCACUCAUAACGACGACGUCCAAAAGUACAUUUUUACACUCUUGACCUCGGAUCAGGUAGGGAUACCCGCUGAACUUAAGCAUAUCAAUAAGCGGAGGA
Molecule: unclassified non-coding RNA, 337 nt
Filed under: soil metagenome
Description: partial contains 5.8S ribosomal RNA, internal transcribed spacer 2, and large subunit ribosomal RNA
Rfam family: 5.8S ribosomal RNA (bases 1-120)
Source: RNAcentral